CACGUAGGGCGCAAGCGUUGUCCGGAAUUAUUGGACGUAAAGAGCUCGUAGGCGGUCUGUUGCGUCCGCUGUGAAAACUCGGGGCUUAACCCCGAGCCUGCAGUGGAUACGGGCAGACUAGAGGUAGGUAGGGGAGAAUGGAAUUCCCGGCGUAGCGGUGAAAUGCGCAGAUAUCAGGAGGAACACCGGUGGCGAAGGCGGGUCUCUGGGCCGAUACUGACGCUGAGGAGCGAAAGCGUGGGGAGCGAACAGG
This 253-nucleotide ribosomal RNA is filed under the name uncultured bacterium. RNAcentral's name for it is "partial 16S ribosomal RNA". It matches the Rfam family "Bacterial small subunit ribosomal RNA", at positions 524 to 776 of the family's 1533-position model. The record is from RNAcentral.